AACGAACGCUGGCGGCAUGCCUAACACAUGCAAGUCGAACGGGACCGUCGGGUCUUGUGGCGCACGGGUGCGUAACGCGUGGGAACCUGCCCGUAGGUUCGGAAUACCUCACCGAAAGGGGUGCUAAUACCGGUUGAUGUCAUCGGGCCAAGGAUUUAUCGCCUUUGGGUGGGCCCGCGUUGGAUUAGCUAGUUGGGAGGGUACAAGCCUACCAAGGCGACGAUCCAUAGCUGGUGUGAGAGGAUGAUCAGCCACACUGGGACUGGGACACGGCCCAGACUGCUACGGGCGGCAGCAGUGGGGAAUAUAUGACAAUGGGCCAAAGCCUGAUCCAGCAAGGCCGCGUGAGUGAUGAACGCGUUAGGGUUGUAAAGCUCCUUUACCCGGGAUGAUAAUAACGGAACCGGGAGAAUAGGCCCCGCCUAACUCCGU
Molecule: ribosomal RNA, 432 nt
Filed under: uncultured bacterium
Lineage: Bacteria
Description: partial 16S ribosomal RNA
Rfam family: Bacterial small subunit ribosomal RNA
Source: RNAcentral